RNAcentral lists this ribosomal RNA (497 nucleotides) under uncultured bacterium. RNAcentral describes it as "partial 16S ribosomal RNA". It matches the Rfam family "Bacterial small subunit ribosomal RNA", at positions 28 to 507 of the family's 1533-position model. The record is from RNAcentral.
GAUGAACGCUGGCGGCGUGCCUAAUACAUGCAAGUCGAGCGAACAGACGCUGCGCUUGCUGCUCUGACGUUAGCCGCGCACGUGUGUGUCACGCGUGUAUCCCCUACCUAUCAUACUGGGAUAACUUCGGGAAACCGGCGCUAAUCCCGUAUAAUCUAUUGAUCCACAUUGUUCGAUAGUGAAUGACGGUGUUGCUGUCACUUCUCGCUGGAUCCGCGCUUCAUUAGCUAGUUGGUGAGGUAACGGCUUACCAAGGAAACCAUGCGUAGCCGACGUGACAGGGUGAUCGGCCACACUGGAAGUGAGCCACGGUCCAGACGCCUACGGGAGGCAGCAGUAGGCAAUCGGCCGCAGUGGGCGAAAGUCUGACGGAGCAAGGCGGCGUGAGAGAUGAAGGCGUCGGGAUCGGAAAACUCUGCUAUUAGGGAAGAACAGAUGUGUAAGGAAAUGUGCACGUCUUGACGGUAACGAAUCAGAAAGCAACGGCUAACUACGUG